UUCAGCUCUGUGGACAUGCAUUAAUUUGAAAGAUUUGACAGACAUGUUCUGGAGCACAGAAAUCAAAAUCAAAGGAUGUUGAUCAAAGACAUGACCUAUCUCUGCUAUAUAGGCCUUCUCAGCCAAGACUAGCUACAUUUUUACACACUGAUCAAAAUGCACAAAUAGCUCUCUCAUAUUAAAUUUUUGGGGAAAAAACCCCCACAGUGUAUUUUUUUAUGCUUUAAAAAGAUGCAUUUACAUUCAGUAUGACUGAAGGACAGUGAUAUUAGAGUCUUUAUUAUGCAAAAUCUGCACUCUGUUUUUGCAGAUAUCCUGACUGUGAAUUUGCUGACCUUUUUCUAAUGCUGCCUGUAUGCAUACCUCAGAAAACCAUAAUCCAAUGUAAUACUAGACCACCUGAGUAUUACCAUAAUUUUAUAUGCAUUUCAUUCCACGUUCCACCCCUCUUUUCCUCUUACAUGUUAUGGCUGGCAUACCACAUGUCUCCCCUGCUUCCUUUCUGCCCCAGACAUCUGCAGUGUCAGCAGUGUGGUCUUACAUCCUCCCCUCUCCACUCAAGCCAUGAAAACUGCAGGGUAAUCCUUUGAAUUGCUGCCUCCUUAGCGUCCUUCCCACCACUUCUUUCCCGUAAAGGAUUAGCAGAUGUUUCCUCAAAACAUCUGCCAUUUCUCACCUUUCCCUCAUUUACCUCACUCGCCAUAUAACCUUAUUUUCCUGGAGCACUUUAUUACUCUUUGUUUGCCACUGACAAAUGUCCCUGUGGUACUCCUCACCUAUCCAGCCCUCACCUAUCCAGCCCCACACAGGCGCUGUGUCUGACCCCGUUUUGGCAGGGUGUGCCAAACUGGGGCAGGAGCUGUGGCCGUCCAAAUUGGGGCAGGAGCUGUGGCCAUCUGCUGCACCUGUUGUUUCAUGGCUCCUCGCCAUGCUGGAGCAGCCCCUGUCUCUCAAGCAGGAGGGCUGCAGAGAGCAGUUGAGAUCAAUAAAUCACCCAGACACGUCAGGUAUGCCCAGCCACAGCAGUAAGGGCAGCUGCUGAGCGCAACCCAAGCGCCUCUUGGAAAACUCUUCUGUAAACAAAUCUGCCACUGAAUUUUUGGGCACAUAUACUGAGCAUUCUGGACAGCACCCUGCUGAUAUAGAGAUGAGAGGUUCACAGCUUUCUUUGAUCUGUGAUCAUGCUAAACUUGGCUCCUGCUCAGCAGACAGCAAUGCUUCUUGUCUGUGUUUUAGGAAGAAUCUGCUCUUUUGUUAAAGUGUAUUGAGAAGGUGUUUUUCUGAGUCUCUGCAUGACCCACGGGCAUCACCACUAGUUUGAAAUUGAACUUGGGCCUGAACAGUUUCAGUAGUUGCCAAAUAUAAAGAAAAAUGAAUAGAAAGAUCUCCUGGCAUUGAUGAGUUCUAGAACUAAGGGAGAUUAACAAGUAGAAAGAAAGAGAAGUUGUUAUCUCUGCCUUGCAUGCCGAAAUGCAUUUAGAGCAUUCGGUUCUGCAUAUCAUCUCAACAAAUCCUAAAGACUGGAUCCCAGACCGUAGGAUUCUCUGACUCUGAUCCUGCUCUGGUCUUGAUCUUUUGUGUCAGAAAGGGCCCUAGAGACAUCUCUGCCUUCUGGAAAUCAAAUUUUAAGAAAACCAGAUAUUGACUAUUGACAGAUAUUGAUGAUGACAUUGGUGAUGAUGAAGAGGAGAAGCUUGAUGAAGAGUAAAAGGAGAAGGAAGAGAAAAUGUGGUAGAGAAAGGAGGAUAAAGUAGAGAAAGGAGGAUAAAAUGUGGUAGAGAAAGGCCAGGGGAUCCCAGAAAUACAGUUCUCAAAGUAUCCUUUCUGGCACAGUUGUGUUAGAGGACUGAACUGAGAAGCCUUUCUCAUGUAGGACCUUUGCUGCCAUGAUGAAAAGAAAUUACUUGCAUCAUCUCUUAAUGUGACUAGAGCAGUUCUGCUCCUUUUCAAACAUGUCAGCCGCUCAAACCACCCAGCUUUUUCUUGGUAGCUCUGGAAAUAGGAAUGCCAGGAUCUUAUUGAGGACAACCAUUCUAUAUAACACUGUCCAGCCAGCAUUGCUUGUGAAAAAACAAAAGUUAUUUUCUAAGUCAAAACUGUUUUUCACAGAGAUGUGAUCACGUUAGUGUUGAGCAACCCAAGAUUAUUCCUCCUGUUCAUGUGACCAUUGCAAGAGUAUCCCCAGUACUCACAAAAGUAAAAAUUUUUGCCAUCAAAGACCAGUUUUGAAACUUUGCAAGUGAGGAUUUUCACCACUAUCCCAUAUGAAAAUUAAACACGGGACUGCUUGAUGCAUUGGCUAAUGUGAAUCCAGGAUUUUGGAGAACAGAUAAAAAAUAAAAUUGUGUUAAUAGAAUAUGGAGUAUGAUAAACUACUUUUGGUUUUAAUGUUUUCCAGAAGUCUCUCAUCCGGUACAUCAACACUGAAGGAAGAGGAUGCCAUCUUGCCCAUCUGCAUGGACAGAGCUCAUGCUAAGCAUGUUUAUGUCAUUUUCACCCUGAAAUAAUUAGAUUGCCAUUAAUUCUUGUCUCAAUACAGUCAAGAUCUAAUUAACUACAUGUGUAUCUACUAUGAUUUUUAGCUUAUUCACAUAUACUAGCUGGUGUUUUCACUACAUAAAAAAAUUAAUACAAGGAGGUCUGAAUCUUGCUCUGCCUUUCAGGAGAAGCUCUCCUUCACAAUCAGCAUGCGUGAUGGUAAGAACCAAGAUAUUUUGUCUGGGCAGAAGAACCCACCUCUGCAGCAGGCAUAAAUGCUUCCCAGCUCAGGCAAUGGCAUGUGUGGGAGUGAAACAGCCCAGGGGAGAAAAGAGGUGUGCAAGGACAUGCAUACCUCUUUAAUAAACAUCCCUUCAAUGAAAUACAUGCUGUGGACCAGGCCUUGCUUAAAGACAAGUUUCAAGCUGAAAGGUAUGUAAGCAUGCUGAGACCAUUUCAACAGCAUAAAACAGAUAACAAAAUAAUCUGUCUGCAGCUGUAAGUUUUCUUUUCUUUAUGCACAGCUGCCUCUAAAUAAGGAGAUUGUAAUGCUGAUCUUUGGAUUCCUGAAUAAAUUCAUUCCUUACUUUAUCUUCAAGCCUGUCUGGUGGUAGGAGUGAUUUAAGUAUAACUGGCAAGCCACCAUCAUUCCAUUCCCAUAUAAGCCACAGUUCAGUAAAGGGGUGGACUGUUCUCUUACAAAAAAUACAAAACCAGAGGUAACCAUUUGCUUCUUCACAAGUUGCAUGAGAUAUUGUGGAAGUUGGUAAUGAGACUUGUAAAGGAAGUCUUCUUGGACACAAUCUUUAUCUCUGGAAAGCUGGAAAAGUGCCUCAUCAAGGAUCUCAAUCAAAUUCAGGGUGCUAGAGUUGGCUCAACUUCAUGACCUUUAGGAUGCAGAUGAGGCUGCUGCAGCUAUGUGUGCAUGGGUCCAGCCUGUAGUGAGGCUGAGCAUAUGUUCCUGACAGGCAAACACACACAUGCACGCAAAAUGCACAUUGCUGGUUACAUGGAUCAGCAAAAAGGGAGUCAUGCUGCAUGCUGUCUUGGCACUGCUGCCUCCACAGUGGAUAUCCAAACAAAGUAAAACUACUUCUUAAACACAGAGGAAUAGCUGAUCUCCAAUUCUACUUGCAUGGGUAAGACCAAGUUUCCACAAGGAAUCUUGAUGGAGUCCAUCUUGGAAUAUCCCACUUGAAAUAUGCAAAAGAAUGAUUUCUAGAGGAUUCAAAGGCUGAUGAAAUUCAGUCCUCUGAAAGCUUAAUCUUCCCACAGAACAGAAUCUGUCCACUCCUCUGGAAGCACAAGU
Long non-coding RNA from Taeniopygia guttata (zebra finch), 3787 nucleotides. The record is from Ensembl. NCBI's taxonomy places the organism in Eukaryota, Metazoa, Chordata, Aves, Passeriformes, Estrildidae.